Molecule: non-coding RNA, 1729 nt
Organism: Taeniopygia guttata (zebra finch)
Lineage: Eukaryota; Metazoa; Chordata; Aves; Passeriformes; Estrildidae
Source: RefSeq, a predicted model, not a curated record
AUGAUUCAUUAAGAUUUGUAGGGUUGUUUGCAUAUUCCCAAGUUAUUAAAAUAGAUCACAGCAGAUAGUCCAAACACUACAUUAGAAAUUAAUUUCCUUUUACUGGACUUUCAACAGAAUGCAGAAAAUGACUGGAAGAUCUGUGGUUUUUCUUCCGAGAUGUACAGUCAGCCAGUGUGACUGCCCAUGCUGAGCCCAGAAAAUAAAUCUCUCAGCAGCCUCAGUAGGAAUGGGAUCAGCGAAUAAUUUCCCCAUUUUUUCUACAGGAAGCCUGAGAUCUUGCUGAUACAGUGAGCACCCUCCAAGAAGUACCUCUAUUUCUGCAUUUGCAUCUUCUCCCAGUGGAUUUCCCUUACGAAUUAUGAUUUUCAUUAUUCAUUGCCACAACAGACUAUUAAAGAGGCAUCUCCACCCAGCUAAAUGCAAGAUUUUGUCUCCAGGCAUAAUAAUAUCUCUGGGAGCUGUUCAGCUCUAGUAAGUAUUUAAACAUAUAUUUAAAUUUAAGAAUGCAAGUUGUCCCCUGACAACAGUCAGAAUUCUGUUUAAAAGUAAAUCACAGACUUUGUUUUCUUUUACUCAAUACAGCAUAGUUGCUAUGGCAAUAAUCAGUAGCAGAGCACUUGUGGUGAAAGGCAGAUUGUUUUGAUUGUCGUGUGAAGAUUCACACCUCCAGAAUUCAAUUCUUUUACUAGCUGCUGCUGUUCCUCCUGCUGGCUCAACAGACUGCAGUGAGUCUUUAUUAGCUCUGAUAAGCAGCACCAAGACAGUAAUUGUCCCACUUGCUCUGGAAAGAUAACUUACCACUGAAGAAUUAACAAGGCCUUCACUCCCUGUACAAACACCCCAAAGAUGAUACUACAGAACAGGUGUUUAAUGUACAACAUUCUUCCUUUUCCUUGGAAAGGAAAGCUUUUAAUUCACUUCCUCUAUAAAGAACACCUGAUGGACUCUAUUACGCAAAUGCUAAUCACGAUCAAAGCACUUCUAAGAAGGGAUAUCCAAUCCCUGAUCAUAAAUCUGUAGUCUCCUUGUGUGUGCACAGUAUGUAUUCAAUCUUUAUCAGAGUUUUAUGGAGCAAAGAACAAAUAUAGUACCAAGUUGUCCACCAAGAACAGAAGAACAUCCCCAACUAGUCAGACGGAAAAAUAGAUAUGUGGGAAAGAAUAAAUGAAAAAAUAUCAAAGCAGAGAGAUUAGCAAGACAGAAGUUGCUGUUUAGCCUUAAGGUCACAGGCAAGAUCAUAACAAUUUUUGAAACUAUUUGCUAUGUUGAAGAACCUGAGACCUUUUAAACUACCUUGCUUUUAUAAGGUGCUCUCAAGGCUGAGCUAAUUUUUGGGAAUUUUAGGAGGAAAACUUAGUUCCCCAACAGUGUCCUCAUGACUCAGUUGAAGCACAGUUGGACUUUUGCAACUUUCAGAUAUUCCUUCCUCCCUUUCAGUGAUAUAAAAAAGUCAGAUGUCCUUCCUUGAGGUCACUGUAGGAUAAUUAAGGAUCCAGUGUCUUGCUACCACCUGCCACAAAGGCUCAUGGUCUUUAAAUGCAAUCUGAAUACAAGCUGCUACAAAAGACAACAUCCCCACAAAUAGUGAGGUCCCAAGGGUGUCCUGGGAUUAAGGAGGCUCUGAUGCUCUGUUUCAAAGGUAAAGCACACACAACAUCCCUGAAAUUCAACGCAAAUGCUUCUCUGAUAGCAAGAAAUGCACACUAAGCCUUUGAGAUUAUAGCUG